RNAcentral lists this transfer RNA (17 nucleotides) under Leichhardtia kaalaensis. Its description in RNAcentral is "Marsdenia kaalaensis partial tRNA-His". The record is from RNAcentral. Lineage: Eukaryota; Viridiplantae; Streptophyta; Magnoliopsida; Gentianales; Apocynaceae.
GAGAGCGAGGGGGCGGA